CACGUAGGGGGCGAGCGUUGUCCGGAUUCAUUGGGCGUAAAGAGCGUGUAGGCGGCCAGGUAGGUCAGCUGUGAAAACUCGAGGCUCAACCUCGAGACGUCGGUUGAAACCACCUGGCUAGAGUCCGGAAGAGGAGAGUGGAAUUCCUGGUGUAGCGGUGAAAUGCGCAGAUAUCAGGAAGAACACCCGUGGCGAAGGCGGCUCUCUGGGACGGUACUGACGCUGAGACGCGAAAGCGUGGGGAGCGAACAGG
Molecule: ribosomal RNA, 253 nt
Filed under: uncultured bacterium
Lineage: Bacteria
Description: partial 16S ribosomal RNA
Rfam family: Bacterial small subunit ribosomal RNA
Source: RNAcentral